Long non-coding RNA from Orcinus orca (killer whale), 1138 nucleotides. RefSeq lists it as uncharacterized. The record is from RefSeq and is a predicted model, not a curated record. NCBI's taxonomy places the organism in Eukaryota, Metazoa, Chordata, Mammalia, Artiodactyla, Delphinidae. The transcript has 6 exons.
CACGCCUAUAAAAACUGACAACCCCAUACCCUGGUGCCUUUCUCACCCUCUGAGAUGGCCCACACUCUGUCUGUGGAGUGUGUUUCUCUCUAAAUAAAUCCACUUCUUACCUACCACUUUGUCUCUCACUGAAUUCUUUCUGCGAUGAGACGUCAAGAACCUGACCUUCAUUAAGUCCUGAAACCAGGUAGAACAACUCCCACUCAUCGUCAACACAAUUGGGGACGUCUUCUGUGCCAUUUCUUUGCGACUUUUUGGACACAACACCUGGUUGGGAGACUACCUUGGAAGGGAUAUCAUCUAAAAUUUAAUCCGAGUUCUUAAAGUGAAAGUAGUUUUCCACCAGAGAAGAGAGAGAGGCCUUCCAGUCGGGGGACAGCGUGUGCGAAUUCACAGAGGAAGGAAACAGCUGACUCUGACUCAGUCCAUAAAAUAAUGAUGUGUCUUACAUACGUGGCAUUUUGGACCUGAGGAAAUACAGCCAUGCUUACCCAGUAUGAGGCACUGUCCAUUUCAAUCUCACAACGACCCUGUGAGGGACCUUGGGCCAAUCACAUUCUGAGCCACCUGUGUAACAAGGGCAAUGGCACCCACCUAAGGUGGUUGUGAGGAUUCAUCUCAAAUGAAUGAGAUGCUGCACGUAAAGCAUGGGACCCGGCACACAACAAGAACUCGAUAAAGUCUGAACAACAAAACAAUGAAAGAUAUUCAAAGUAAGGUCCCAAGGCUGGCCUUCCUGGUGAGUGUUUUUUAAUAACUCUUUUUAUAUCUUUCUCUCUUUACAUCACCACCCCCACUUCCCUGCCCAAAUGAAGUUUUUAAUGAAGAUAGCACACCACCGAGUCUCAAGUUGAGACCCGAAGUACCCAGACUUAGUGUAUCAGGUUAUAUAUCCUGUAAGAAAGACGAUUUUAUCAGGUAACCAAUGUGAAGCUCGCCCCUGCACCCCCGUCAGCUAGCAGGUUAUCUGGAAUUCAUCCUAGAUCAAUGACCUGUUGGACUCAAAGAAGCCACCCCCAAAAAAAUUGUAUAAAAAGAUUUAUUGAAAUUUAUCAAUGACAAACAGACAUAAAACUCAAAGUUUGGCUCUUCUGAGGGGGAGGAAAACCGGUGCAGAUGUUCUUUUAUACAGAUGAAA